RNAcentral lists this ribosomal RNA (1256 nucleotides) under Staphylococcus aureus. Its description in RNAcentral is "partial 23S ribosomal RNA". It matches the Rfam family "Bacterial large subunit ribosomal RNA", at positions 280 to 1537 of the family's 2925-position model. The record is from RNAcentral. Lineage: Bacteria; Bacillati; Bacillota; Bacilli; Caryophanales; Staphylococcaceae.
AAGCUUGCUUGUUGGGGUUGUAGGACACUCUAUACGGAGUUACAAAGGACGACAUUAGACGAAUCAUCUGGAAAGAUGAAUCAAAGAAGGUAAUAAUCCUGUAGUCGAAAAUGUUGUCUCUCUUGAGUGGAUCCUGAGUACGACGGAGCACGUGAAAUUCCGUCGGAAUCUGGGAGGACCAUCUCCUAAGGCUAAAUACUCUCUAGUGACCGAUAGUGAACCAGUACCGUGAGGGAAAGGUGAAAAGCACCCCGGAAGGGGAGUGAAAUAGAACCUGAAACCGUGUGCUUACAAGUAGUCAGAGCCCGUUAAUGGGUGAUGGCGUGCCUUUUGUAGAAUGAACCGGCGAGUUACGAUUUGAUGCAAGGUUAAGCAGUAAAUGUGGAGCCGUAGCGAAAGCGAGUCUGAAUAGGGCGUUUAGUAUUUGGUCGUAGACCCGAAACCAGGUGAUCUACCCUUGGUCAGGUUGAAGUUCAGGUAACACUGAAUGGAGGACCGAACCGACUUACGUUGAAAAGUGAGCGGAUGAACUGAGGGUAGCGGAGAAAUUCCAAUCGAACCUGGAGAUAGCUGGUUCUCUCCGAAAUAGCUUUAGGGCUAGCCUCAAGUGAUGAUUAUUGGAGGUAGAGCACUGUUUGGACGAGGGGCCCCUCUCGGGUUACCGAAUUCAGACAAACUCCGAAUGCCAAUUAAUUUAACUUGGGAGUCAGAACAUGGGUGAUAAGGUCCGUGUUCGAAAGGGAAACAGCCCAGACCACCAGCUAAGGUCCCAAAAUAUAUGUUAAGUGGAAAAGGAUGUGGCGUUGCCCAGACAACUAGGAUGUUGGCUUAGAAGCAGCCAUCAUUUAAAGAGUGCGUAAUAGCUCACUAGUCGAGUGACACUGCGCCGAAAAUGUACCGGGGCUAAACAUAUUACCGAAGCUGUGGAUUGUCCUUUGGACAAUGGUAGGAGAGCGUUCUAAGGGCGUUGAAGCAUGAUCGUAAGGACAUGUGGAGCGCUUAGAAGUGAGAAUGCCGGUGUGAGUAGCGAAAGACGGGUGAGAAUCCCGUCCACCGAUUGACUAAGGUUUCCAGAGGAAGGCUCGUCCGCUCUGGGUUAGUCGGGUCCUAAGCUGAGGCCGACAGGCGUAGGCGAUGGAUAACAGGUUGAUAUUCCUGUACCACCUAUAAUCGUUUUAAUCGAUGGGGGGACGCAGUAGGAUAGGCGAAGCGUGCGAUUGGAUUGCACGUCUAAGCAGUAAGGCUGAGUAUUAGGC